RNAcentral lists this ribosomal RNA (476 nucleotides) under uncultured bacterium. Its description in RNAcentral is "bacterial SSU rRNA". It matches the Rfam family "Bacterial small subunit ribosomal RNA", at positions 37 to 507 of the family's 1533-position model. The record is from RNAcentral.
UGGCGGCAUGCCUUACACAUGCAAGUCGAACGGCAGCACGGGAGCAAUCCUGGUGGCGAGUGGCGAACGGGUGAGUAAUAUAUCGGAACGUGCCCAGUCGUGGGGGAUAACGUAGCGAAAGCUACGCUAAUACCGCAUACGAUCUAUGGAUGAAAGCGGGGGAUCGCAAGACCUCGCGCGAUUGGAGCGGCCGAUAUCAGAUUAGGUAGUUGGUGAGGUAAAGGCUCACCAAGCCGACGAUCUGUAGCUGGUCUGAGAGGACGACCAGCCACACUGGGACUGAGACACGGCCCAGACUCCUACGGGAGGCAGCAGUGGGGGAAUUUUGGACAAUGGGCGCAAGCCUGAUCCAGCAAUGCCGCGUGCAGGAUGAAGGCCUUCGGGUUGUAAACUGCUUUUGUACGGAACGAAACGGUGAGCUCUAAUACAGUUUGCUAAUGACGGUACCGUAAGAAUAAGCACCGGCUAACUACGUG